RNAcentral lists this ribosomal RNA (433 nucleotides) under uncultured bacterium. Its description in RNAcentral is "partial 16S ribosomal RNA". It matches the Rfam family "Bacterial small subunit ribosomal RNA", at positions 29 to 507 of the family's 1533-position model. The record is from RNAcentral.
AACGAACGCUGGCGGCAUGCCUAACACAUGCAAGUCGAACGAGACCUUCGGGUCUAGUGGCGCACGGGUGCGUAACGCGUGGGAACCUACCUUUAGGUUCGGAAUAACUCAGAGAAAUUUGAGCUAAUACCGGAUGAUGUCUUCGGACCAAAGAUUUAUCGCCUUUAGAUGGGCCCGCGUUGGAUUAGCUAGUUGGUGGGGUAAAGGCCUGCCAAGGCGACGAUCCAUAGCUGGUCUGAGAGGAUGAUCAGCCACACUGGGACUGAGACACAGCCCAGACUCCUACGGGAGGCAGCAGUGGGGAAUAUUGGACAAUGGGCGAAAGCCUGAUCCAGCAAUGCCGCGUGAGUGAUGAAGGCCUUAGGGUUGUAAAGCUCUUUUACCCGAGAUGAUAAUGACAGUAUCGGGAGAAUAAGCUCCGGCUAACUCCGUG